CAUGUAGGCGGUUUUGUAAGUCUGGUGUGAAAUCCCACAGCUUAACUGUGGAGACGCACUGGAAACUGUGGAACUAGAAUCAGUGAGGGGUAACCGGAAUUCCUAGUGUAGGGGUGAAAUCUGUUGAUAUUAGGAAGAACACCGAUGGCGAAGGCAGGUUACUGGCGCAUGAUUGACGCUGAUGUGCGAAAGCGUAGGGAGCGAACA
Molecule: ribosomal RNA, 207 nt
Filed under: uncultured bacterium
Lineage: Bacteria
Description: partial 16S ribosomal RNA
Rfam family: Bacterial small subunit ribosomal RNA
Source: RNAcentral